CUACGGGGUGCUGCAGUUAGGAAUAUUCUGCAAUGCGCGCAAGCGUGACAGAUUGAACCAGAGUGUUUUUCAAAUGAAAGACUUUUGUGAAAUGUAAAAAGUUUUACGAAUAAGGACUGGGUAAGACGAGUGCCAGCCGCCGCGGUAAUACUCGCGGUCCAAGUCGCAGCCAUUUUUAUUGGGUCUAAAACAUCCGUAGCUUGCUUGAUAAGUUUCUUGUGAAAUUUUAUAUCUCAAAUAUGAAGCGUGCAAGAAGUACUGUCAAGCUAGAGACUGGAAGACGUAAGAAGUAUGUUUGGAGUAGCGGUAAAAUGUGUUAAUCCCAGACAGACUAACAACAGCGAAGGCAUCUUACGAGGACAGUUCUGACAGUAAGGGUUGAAAGCUAGGGGCGCAAAACGGAUUAGAUACCCCCGUAGUC
Molecule: ribosomal RNA, 421 nt
Filed under: uncultured archaeon
Lineage: Archaea
Description: partial 16S ribosomal RNA
Rfam family: Archaeal small subunit ribosomal RNA
Source: RNAcentral